Molecule: transfer RNA, 71 nt
Filed under: Loxodonta africana (African savanna elephant)
Lineage: Eukaryota; Metazoa; Chordata; Mammalia; Proboscidea; Elephantidae
Rfam family: tRNA
About the family: Transfer RNA (tRNA) molecules are approximately 80 nucleotides in length. Their secondary structure includes four short double-helical elements and three loops (D, anti-codon, and T loops). Further hydrogen bonds mediate the characteristic L-shaped molecular structure. tRNAs have two regions of fundamental functional importance: the anti-codon, which is responsible for specific mRNA codon recognition, and the 3' end, to which the tRNAs corresponding amino acid is attached (by aminoacyl-tRNA synthetases). tRNAs cope with the degeneracy of the genetic code in two manners: having more than one tRNA (with a specific anti-codon) for a particular amino acid; and 'wobble' base-pairing, i.e. permitting non-standard base-pairing at the 3rd anti-codon position.
Source: Rfam by way of RNAcentral
GUAUUGAUGCUUCAGUGGCAGAGUUCUUGCCUUCCAUGCAAGAGACUUGGGUUCAAUUCCUGGCCCAUGCA